Molecule: ribosomal RNA, 253 nt
Filed under: uncultured bacterium
Lineage: Bacteria
Description: partial 16S ribosomal RNA
Rfam family: Bacterial small subunit ribosomal RNA
Source: RNAcentral
UACGUAGGUGGCAAGCGUUGUCCGGAUUUACUGGGCGUAAAGAGCGCGCAGGCGGUCGUUCAAGUCGCGUGUGAAAGCCCCCGGCUCAACUGGGGAGGGUCACGCGAUACUGAUCGACUCGAAGGCAGGAGAGGGUAGUGGAAUUCCCGGUGUAGUGGUGAAAUGCGUAGAUAUCGGGAGGAACACCGGUGGCGAAGGCGGCCUUCUGGACGGAUACUGACGCUGAGACGCGAAAGCGUGGGGAGCAAACAGG